CACCUCUCAAAUGUCACCAUUUGACGUUGGGCGGUGCCGGAAAGGCACGCCUCAAAAUCAGUGACGGUCACCAGUCGGACCCAGGCGUACAAGUAUCGCGAUAGGGGAUGAUGGGGGCCGAUCUUGAAUAAUGAAAUCUGAA
This 142-nucleotide unclassified non-coding RNA is filed under the name uncultured Ascomycota. RNAcentral describes it as "sequence contains ITS2". The record is from RNAcentral. Lineage: Eukaryota; Fungi; Ascomycota.